AUAUGUCGCAGUCAUCUGGUUUAUUCUGCGAUUCGAUUGAAUGACUAGCGCAUUUAUUGAAUGACGCCAUUCAAUCGAAUGACUAAAGGACAACUCGUCAAGACGUUGACUGUGACAUUUAACGUCUGGACUAAAAGUCAUAUAGUAAAGUCGUUAAAUGGGAUGCUAUAUUUUUUUUAAGUAGCCUUUAAUAUAUUAUAUCUUUUUAAGGCUAUAU
Molecule: long non-coding RNA, 217 nt
Organism: Aricia agestis (brown argus)
Lineage: Eukaryota; Metazoa; Arthropoda; Insecta; Lepidoptera; Lycaenidae
Exons: 2
Source: RefSeq, a predicted model, not a curated record